Lycium ferocissimum is the source of this 2910-nucleotide RNA transcript. It is a transcript of the gene named geraniol 8-hydroxylase-like, with no coding region annotated. The transcript is spliced from 2 exons. The record is from RefSeq and is a predicted model, not a curated record. Lineage: Eukaryota; Viridiplantae; Streptophyta; Magnoliopsida; Solanales; Solanaceae.
CUUCUAAGCAACUCAGAAUAUCUCACUAGAUGGUGUAGUAAUUAAGAGAAGAUUUUUCUGUGCAUAGGGACCCAACCCAUGUUUUCCUUCUAUACUGCUCGUCCAUCAAGGCAGUUAUUGAGAGGUUACCAUAGUGGACAUUAGUUUACUAAGUUAUGGACAGUUACCGGAUAUGGGAAAAAGUUGGGAGUUUAUCUCCUUCGUAUACGGGACAUGACAAAGAUGAAGUUUUAAAAUUUCAACUAACAUUCUCCCAAGUGGUCCGUAUACAUAAUGCCCAUUGUCAUAAUACUUACAGAGAACAAUAAUACAUGAAUCUUGGCGAUAGUUCCUCUAGGAGUGAGUAGUACCUUCCAUGUAUCACAUUGCAUUAAGCCUUCUCAAAUGCUUGCCCAAGUUUCUUAAUGAAUAAACUCAAUGUUUAUUCUAGGUCCAUACUUUAGCGAUAUUUCUCAAAACUGAAUGUGCACACAGUAAUAAAUAUGAGAAAUAUCAUAUAAAAUAAAUUAGAAUAACCUUCUAGAAAGAAGGAAUAUCCCAAGGGUACAAGUCUUGAAAUUGAAAUUAAAUUUCUAGAAAAGUUAGGUACAUAAAAGGUCUUUUCUAACACUAAAAUGAAACCACUACUAAGAACUAAACUGCAUGUCCUAAUAGUUUCCACACGCGAUUGCAUCUUGUUUCCAGAAUAGAUGCUUCGCUCAGCUCCCACUGGCUUCCGUUGGUUUCUUAAACCCUGCAAUGAAUUCGUAAUAUGGAUUGUACAAGCAGAAUCAAUCGACCACGUGUUAUGAUUAACAUCAACCAUAUUAGCUUCAUAACAUACAAGAAAGAUUGAAGUACCUUUCUUUUCAAGCCAUUUCUGAUACUUGAUACAAUCCUUCUUAUGUGCCCCUUCUUUUACGUGCGACACUUAGAUUCUUUCUUGAUAUCAGGUUCAGGUUCAAGUGGUGCUUUUCCUUUCCACUUUCUAUUGGCUUGGUAGGUCUUCUUUCCCUGAGUAGCCAUGAAUGCACUUUCUCCUGUUUCCAUCAGCAAUCGACCCUCCUCUUGAACACACAUGGCCAUAAGUUUAUUAAUAGACCAUUUAUCUUUAUGUGUGUUAUAAGAGAUCUUGCAGGGGCCGUACUGUAAAGGAAAAGAGUUUAAAAUAUAGUGCACAAGCAAAGUUUCAGAAAUUUCAACCUCAAGAGUCUUUAGCUGAGCCGCUAAGUCUUGCAUUUUCAUUGUGUGCUCACGCACACCUCUCACACUAGUGAGCCUCAUUGAUGAGAAUUUCAUAAUCAGGGUGCUGGCAAGUGCCUUAUCUGAAGUCUCAAACUGUUCAUCAAUAGCCUUCAGUAAUGCCUAGACAUUGUUAUAUUGUUUAACAGAACCAUGAAUACCAGCAGAGAUUUUGGUCUUAAUGAACAUAACACUCAAACGGUUCGAGCGCUCCCAUUGUUCAUGAAGAGCAAUCUCAGCUUGAGUGCUAAUUUCAUUAAUAGGUGGUUCAUCUUUCCUGAUAGCAUAAUCAAUGUCCAUGCACCCUAAGUGAAGAAGAAUUCUCUCCUUCCAAAUCUUAUAGUUCUCACCAUUCAGUUCGAGAAUAUCACAAAUAUCAGAGAAAUUUGCAGGUUGCAUAACUGCAAAAAUAUACAUACAUGCUUAAUAAAUUUGAGGCAAAUAAUAUAAUAUUGAAUCUACUGACAUAAAAAUUGCCUGUGGGCUAAAUUUUUAAUUCAAUUAGGUCCAGUCUUUACGGUAGAAUUAUCAAUUUACUAGCAGGAUAAUUCUAUCUUUACGAUAAAACUAUAAAAUUCUCGUUCACAAUCCCUGUGGGCAAUUAUGAAAAGUAUUUAAUAUUUUAUCCUAAUUAAUUUUGCAACCCAAUAAUAAAGAUUCUUGAGUUAUUAAAUCGUGCAUAAUUAAUUACAAUUCUAAUGUCUAAAAUUUCUUUAGACAUUGUAAAAACUUCCCAUAACCUCUUGCAACUACUGUCCAUCACAGCAACUGCUGAAAACCGUCCUUGAUGGAAGCACGGUUAUAUAUUCUGCAUUUUGGUUCAAGGGUCCCUAAGCACAUUACUUCUUUUAACUCCAUACCAUCUAAGAGUGAGGUUUUGAGUGCUUAGAAGAUCCUUGGAGUAGAAAGGACUCACCGGAAGAAGGCGACGCUGCUGAUACAAACGACGACUUAGCAACAAUGGCUGGAGGACUUGUUUGUGGCAGGAACCGUUACUACAUCAAAUACAUUGGAGUGGGCCAUGGCAGAACUAUUCAAGAAUCCGCAUACUAUGGAGAAAGCACAAGUAGAACUUGCUCAAGUAAUUGGCAGAGGCAAACUAAUAAAUGAAGCAGAGAAAGAAUACAUCCACAAGCUCCUUUCUUAAUUCCGCGCAAAGCGGAGGAAGAUGUUGAGCUUUAUGACUAUACUGUUCCAAAAGAUUCACAAGUUCUUGUGAACGUAUGGGCAAUUGGGCGCGACUCUAGUUUAUGGGAAAAUCCUUUGGACUUUAAGCCAGAGCGGUUUUAGGAGUCAGAAAUAGAUGUACGCGGUCAGGAUUUUGAGCUAAUACCAUUUGGUGUUGGUUGAAGAAUUUGCCCUGGACUGCCUUGGGCUAUCAGAAUGGUUCCAGUAGCACUAGGUUCAAUGCUAAAUACGUUUAAGUGGAAGCCGCAUGGUGGAAUUGCACCUAAACAUUUGGACAUGGAGGAAAAAUUUGGUAUUACCUUGGCAGAAGCUCAGCCUCUCCUAGCUAUCCCUAUUCCACUGUAAUUGUUGGAAUAAACAUUAAGAUUCUUAGUACACAAGAAUACCACAAUAUCUAUCAUUUCUUUGUAAAUGUAAGAAAGCUAGAAUGAAUUAGUAUAUUAUUAUUUUAAGAAAAAUCUUGUCAACAAUGUCUAUAAUAAGCCAAACGCAUUGGAUGAA